AUCCGUCUGACAAGUCCUAAAUAGGACGAAACGCGCAUCCUAGAU
RNAcentral lists this non-coding RNA (45 nucleotides) under Schistosoma mansoni. Lineage: Eukaryota; Metazoa; Platyhelminthes; Trematoda; Strigeidida; Schistosomatidae. The record is from RNAcentral.